GACGAACGCUGGCGGCGUGCCUAACACAUGCAAGUCGAGCGGUAAGGCCCUUCGGGGUACACGAGUGGCGAACGGGUGAGUAACACGUGGGUGAUCUGCCCUGCACUUCGGGAUAAGCCUGGGAAACUGGGUCUAAUACCGGAUAGGACCACUGCCUGCAUGGGUGGUGGUGGAAAGCUUUUGCGGCGUGGGAUGGGCCCGCGGCCUAUCAGCUUGUUGGUGGGGUGAUGGCCUACCAAGGCGACGACGGGUAGCCGGCCUGAGAGGGUGACCGGCCACACUGGGACUGAGAUACGGCCCAGACUCCUACGGGAGGCAGCAGUGGGGAAUAUUGCACAAUGGGCGCAAGCCUGAUGCAGCGACGCCGCGUGAGGGAUGACGGCCUUCGGGUUGUAAACCUCUUUCAGCACCGACGAAGCGCAAGUGACGGUAGGUGCAGAAGAAGGACCGGCCAACUACGUGCCAGCAGCCGCGGUAA
Molecule: ribosomal RNA, 478 nt
Filed under: uncultured bacterium
Lineage: Bacteria
Description: partial 16S ribosomal RNA
Rfam family: Bacterial small subunit ribosomal RNA
Source: RNAcentral